AGGGCACCACCAGGAGUGGGGCCUGCGGCUUAAUUUGACUCAACACGGGAAAACUCACCCGGCCCGGACACUGGAAGGAUUGACAGAUUGAGAGCUCUUUCUUGAUUCAGUGGGUGGUGGUGCAUGGCCGUUCUUAGUUGGUGGAGUGAUUUGUCUGGUUAAUUCCGAUAACGAACGAGACUCUAGCCUACUAAAUAGAUCGUCGGCUUACAAACGCCGGCGAGACUUCUUAGAGGGACAGGCGGUGAUUCAACCGCACGAAACAGAGCAAUAACAGGUCUGUGAUGCCCUUAGAUGUCCGGGGCCGCACGCGCGCUACACUGAAGUGAUCAGCGUGCUUUUUCAACCUACUCUGUCAAGAGUGGGGAACCCAAUGAACCUUCUUCGUGAUUGGGAUAGGGGAUUGUAAUUAUUCCCCUUGAACGAGGAAUCCCCAGUAAGCGCGAGUCAUAAGCUCGCGUUGAUUACGUCCCUGCCCUUUGUACACACCGCCCGUCGCUACUACCGAUUGAAUGUUUU
RNAcentral lists this ribosomal RNA (519 nucleotides) under uncultured eukaryote. RNAcentral's name for it is "SSU rRNA". It matches the Rfam family "Eukaryotic small subunit ribosomal RNA", at positions 1161 to 1699 of the family's 1831-position model. The record is from RNAcentral.